RNAcentral lists this ribosomal RNA (434 nucleotides) under uncultured bacterium. RNAcentral's name for it is "partial 16S ribosomal RNA". It matches the Rfam family "Bacterial small subunit ribosomal RNA", at positions 341 to 792 of the family's 1533-position model. The record is from RNAcentral.
ACGGAAGGCAGCAGUGGGGGAUAUUGCACAAUGGGGGAAACCCUGAUGCAGCGACGCCGCGUGAGUGAUGAAGUAUUUCGGUAUGUAAAGCUCUAUCAGCAGGGAAGAAAAUGACGGUACCUGACUAAGAAGCUCCGGCUAAAUACGUGCCAGCAGCCGCGGUAAUACGUAUGGAGCAAGCGUUAUCCGGAUUUACUGGGUGUAAAGGGAGCGUAGACGGCGUGGCAAGUCUGAUGUGAAAGCUAUGGGCUCAACCCAUAAACUGCAUUGGAAACUGUCAUGCUAGAGUGUCAGAGAGGUAAGCGGAAUUCCUAGUGUAGCGGUGAAAUGCGUAGAUAUUAGGAGGAACACCAGUGGCGAAGGCGGCUUACUGGACGAUAACUGACGUUGAGGCUCGAAAGCGUGGGGAGCAAACAGGAUUAGAUACCCUGGUA